CAGUCGCCGCGGGAACACGAACCGUGCGAACGUUAUUCGGAAUUACUGGGCUUAAAGCGCGUGUAGGCGGGCCGCCACGUCGGUUGCUGAAAUCCCCCGGCUCAACCGGGGAAGUGGCAUCGAUACGAGCGGCCUUGAGGGGGGUAGGGGGAUCUGGAACUUCCGGUGGAGCGGUGAAAUGCGCUGAGAUCGGAAGGAACGCCCGUGGCGAAAGCGAGGUCCUGGACCCUUUCUGACGCUGAGACGCGAAAGCCAGGGGAGCGAACGGGAUUAGAUACCCCCGUAGUCCCUGUCUCUUAUA
RNAcentral lists this ribosomal RNA (301 nucleotides) under uncultured bacterium. RNAcentral's name for it is "partial 16S ribosomal RNA". It matches the Rfam family "Bacterial small subunit ribosomal RNA", at positions 509 to 807 of the family's 1533-position model. The record is from RNAcentral.